CCUACGGGUGGCAGCAGUGAGGAAUAUUGGUCAAUGGGCGAGAGCCUGAACCAGCCAAGUCGCGUGAGGGAUGACGGCCCUAUGGGUUGUAAACUUCUUUUGUCUGGGAGUAAAACAGGGUAUGCAUACCCUCUUGUAUGUACCAUAUGAAUAAGCAUCGGCUAACUCCGUGCCAGCAGCCGCGGUAAUACGGAGGAUGCGAGCGUUAUCCGGAUUUAUUGGGUUUAAAGGGUGCGUAGGUGGGGUGUUAAGUCAGUUGUGAAAUUUUGCGGCCCAACCGUAAAAAUGCAGUUGAAACUGGCAGGCUUGAGUACAGUAGAGGUAGGCGGAAUGCGUGGUGUAGCGGUGAAAUGCUUAGAUAUCACGAAGAACUCCGAUUGCGAAGGCAGCUUACUGGACCGCAACUGACACUGAUGCACGAAAGUGUGGGUAUCGAACAGGAUUAGAUACCCGUGUAGUC
RNAcentral lists this ribosomal RNA (460 nucleotides) under uncultured bacterium. RNAcentral's name for it is "partial 16S ribosomal RNA". It matches the Rfam family "Bacterial small subunit ribosomal RNA", at positions 338 to 795 of the family's 1533-position model. The record is from RNAcentral.